ACAACUUGAUUACAAUUUAUCAGUAUUUUUACAGGCUGUUUAGACAGCCAAUUCACUGUAGCAGGCGGUCUAAAAGUACAUACAGCAUCAGGAGUGGGGGGGUCAAACUCGGCAGGGCCUCUGCAACGCUCCCCUGCAAUAAAUAUAAAUCGCUGCUAUGAAAAGCAGAAACGGGAGGAAAAUCAAACUUUUUUAUGAAUAAAGUGAUUUUUUUUUGCUAGAAAAUUUAACGUAGCCUUGUAAAGCAUGAGGAGGGUGAAAUAUCACUUCAAGCCGCCUUUAAAAAAAAAUAAAAAUGGACAGCAAUACGGCAGCAGCAGUCUUUUGAAAGGAUCCUUACUGUAAAGAAAACUGGCAAGUUCAAGGACCUUCGUUGAAGGAAUCAGCAGAGGCUCACAGAGGAAGGAGGGUCCUGCAGGUGCGCUGGGUUUGCGGUUUCAAAUUUUCGCUCCUCCGGGCUUUCCUGCCUGCACAGACGUGAAGUCCCCCUAGCCACUGCGGUGGGUAUUCAGAGCACGAAUCCUCCAGUGAGAAAUCCAAGCAGUAAGCGUUCCUGAAAAUCUGACCCUAAAUUCGUCUGCUACUAAUUAAAUGAAACACUUAAACACGAACCCAACCAAUCAUUAAGGAAACACUUGAAAAUAAAUGUUCAAUCUCUCCCAUGCUAAGGGGUAAUGUAGCGAGACUCUCGACUCCAAUAAAUUAAACCCGCACAGCC
This is a long non-coding RNA of Oxyura jamaicensis (ruddy duck), 718 nucleotides long. RefSeq lists it as uncharacterized. The transcript has 2 exons. Lineage: Eukaryota; Metazoa; Chordata; Aves; Anseriformes; Anatidae. The record is from RefSeq and is a predicted model, not a curated record.